GUGCCUAGCAAGUGCUAGAGCUAAAGAAAUUAAAGAAAUAACUGAGACACGGCUCUGCCCUCCAGGAGAUGUAGUAGGAAAUAUUAGACAUCUGGAAAUAUCCAAAAGUAAAAUAUCCAAAAAUACAAUAACCGAAGUUAAAUGUUUUAAUCAAUGCUACCAGAACACAGAGAAAGAGAAGGUGGCUCACAUUGGGAAGAUGAAGGGACACUCAAGAGGGAAGUUGGCAUUUUAAUCACGUCUUGGAUGAAUACAGAAUUUGGACAUCCAGAGAUGUAGCAAGAAUGACAUUCCAGUUUCACUGCGCUGUGCAUGAAGAUGUCCGUAAUACUUUAGUGAAAGUGAGGGAAUUGUCUACUGGGACAUCCACCCCUACAUGAGGCUGCAGGAGAAGAUGUCUACAUGUCAGCCCAUGACCUCGGCACAGCAAGUUCCACAGAGGGAUAUGCUGUCUUUACUAUGUAAAGCUUGGCUGUACGUUUUCAGGAAUCCUCUCCAUUGGCCCCUUAGAAAUCUACAUAGGUAUCUAUGCUCCAGUUGAUAUGAAACACUGUCAUACAAAACCAGAUUGAAAAAAAAAACCUAAAUGUGCUUUACUGUCUCUUUAGCUUAAUCUGCAAUCUCGGAUAGUAACUAGGAGUCAAAAAUUACUUUCCCCAACUAAGAAGUCUAUAUAGGAAACAAACACAGAGCAGCCUGGUGGUUAGGAAUUUUAGGUCCCUCUUUUCCAUAAACUUGCUAAAUACAACUUAGAUAGUCAUUUUCCCUCUCUGGGUCUGGUUCUCUCCAAUGGGUAUAAUCUUCAGUCUCCUAAUGCGUGUUUCUAUGGCAAACAAAGGGAGCAAGAGAGGUAAAAUCACUCAAGUAAUUUGUGAACAGCAACAUGCAUAAAGGGGACACACAAACCAUGCUCACCCGCCUCUUCCUCAUCAUCACAGCUAAGAUUUAUUGAGUCAGGCCCUGUUCUAAAUGCUUCAAAUGCACCUCACCCUCCCAACCUCCUGCUCAGGUAGCUACUCUUAUUGUCCUCAUUCAGCGAUGACGAAAUUGAAGCCUGGAGUUGUAAGUAUAGCACUCAAGGUAUCACAGCCAGGACUCAAACACAACUACAGUUCAUGGCCUUGACCGCUAUACCACGUGUGGCAUUCUGAGUGUUG
Molecule: non-coding RNA, 1157 nt
Organism: Kogia breviceps (pygmy sperm whale)
Lineage: Eukaryota; Metazoa; Chordata; Mammalia; Artiodactyla; Physeteridae
Source: RefSeq, a predicted model, not a curated record